Molecule: signal recognition particle RNA, 385 nt
Filed under: Triticum aestivum (bread wheat)
Lineage: Eukaryota; Viridiplantae; Streptophyta; Magnoliopsida; Poales; Poaceae
Description: SRP RNA Plant_SRP
Rfam family: Plant signal recognition particle RNA
Source: Rfam by way of RNAcentral
CGAGCUCAGUUACGAGAGCUUGUAACCCGAGUGGGGGUAUUAAGGUGAUGUGGACGCUGUUGUAGUGUUGUGGGCCUGGUUUGGGUGUGCUAAUGCUGGCCUGCCCGUUCCAAGUUGCGUAGUGGACCGGCUGGGGCCUAUGCGAAAGCUGGGCCUCACGGUCCAUAAUGUGGCAGGCACAGCGUGAGGCUGGCUUCACAGAGCAGCGAGCAGCUGGGGCCUAUGCGAAAGCUGGGCCUCACGGUCCAUAAUGUGGCAGGCACAGCGUGAGGCUGGCUUCACAGAGCAGCGACAACUGCUCACUUCCAACGGUGGAAGGAUAACGGGCUGCUACACUCCUGAGCCACUUGGGCCUCGCAGCCUACUCCAGCGAACCAUCACUCUU